AAAGUGCGAAAAGUGUCAUGACUUGCAGAUUCCCGAGAGCUGACAAAUCUCUGAAUGCAAAUGGCAGUCGCGUUAGACCCGACUAUGUAUUGUAGAGUGUAGAUGCUCCAGCUAUUCAUCAUCUUUUCUCUCUCUCUUCUGUCUCUUUUAAUCGAGAGAUGGAGGGGGCUGAAAAGUAUGGAUCUGCGCUUGCGAUGUACAUCCUGUAUGUCGCGAGUGUUAAAAGGAAAGGUCUACAUUCUUCCCUUCUCGCAAGAAAAGGGGAGAGUGUGCACCGAUGAUCUAGGAUUGUUAACCCAAUUCGAACUAAUCGGAUGCUCUCAUAAGGCCGAAUGAUUUACCCCCCCAUAUCUCUAUGAGCCACCUCUACAAUGCAUGAAAACCCGCUGAACUUAA
This 396-nucleotide unclassified non-coding RNA is filed under the name uncultured fungus. RNAcentral describes it as "sequence contains ITS1". The stretch from base 1 to 102 matches the Rfam family "5.8S ribosomal RNA", at positions 50 to 154 of the family's 154-position model. The record is from RNAcentral. Lineage: Eukaryota; Fungi.